UACGUAGGUCCCGAGCGUUGUCCGGAUUUACUGGGUGUAAAGGGAGCGCAGGCGGCACGGCAAGCCUGAUGUGAAAGCCCGCGGCCCAACCGCGGGACUGCAUUGGGAACUACCGGGCUGGAGUGCCGGAGAGGUAGGCGGAAUUCCUAGUGUAGCGGUGAAAUGCGUAGAUAUUAGGAGGAACACCAGUGGCGAAGGCGGCCUACUGGACGGUGACUGACGCUGAGGCUCGAAAGCGUGGGGAGCAAACAGG
This 253-nucleotide ribosomal RNA is filed under the name uncultured bacterium. Its description in RNAcentral is "partial 16S ribosomal RNA". It matches the Rfam family "Bacterial small subunit ribosomal RNA", at positions 524 to 776 of the family's 1533-position model. The record is from RNAcentral.